CAGCAGCCGCGGGAAUACGGAGGGUGCAAGCGUUAAUCGGAAUUACUGGGCGUAAAGCGUGCGUAGGUGGUGGUUUAAGUCCGUUGUGAAAGCCCUGGGCUCAACCUGGGAAUUGCAGUGGAUACUGGGUCACUAGAGUGUGGUAGAGGAUAGUGGAAUUUCCGGUGUAGCAGUGAAAUGCGUAGAGAUCGGAAGGAACAUCUGUGGCGAAGGCGACUAUCUGGGCCAACACUGACACUGAGGCACGAAAGCGUGGGGAGCAAACAGGAUUAGAUACCCGAGUAGUCCCUGUCUCUUAUAA
This 301-nucleotide ribosomal RNA is filed under the name uncultured bacterium. RNAcentral's name for it is "partial 16S ribosomal RNA". It matches the Rfam family "Bacterial small subunit ribosomal RNA", at positions 509 to 809 of the family's 1533-position model. The record is from RNAcentral.